AGCUUUGCGCAGUGGCAGUAUCAUAGCCAAUGAGGUUUAUCCGAGGUGCGAUUAUUGCUAAUUGAAAACUUAAUUGUGCCUUAUAGGCCCCACGUGGUCUGGCCUCUGUCUGCCUCUCCAACAUCACUUUUCACCUUCCCUCUAUCACACUCCACACUUGAGCCACAUUGUUUAGUUGCUCAAGAGCA
Molecule: small nuclear RNA, 188 nt
Filed under: Ictidomys tridecemlineatus (thirteen-lined ground squirrel)
Lineage: Eukaryota; Metazoa; Chordata; Mammalia; Rodentia; Sciuridae
Description: U4 spliceosomal RNA (ENSSTOG00000018529.1)
Rfam family: U4 spliceosomal RNA (bases 1-77)
Source: RNAcentral